CUUGGUCAUUUAGAGGAAGUAAAAGUCGUAACAAGGUUUCCGUAGGUGAACCUGCGGAAGGAUCAUUAUCGAAAUUAUUGGUGAGGGUUGUAGCUGGCCUUUCGAGGCAUGUGCACGCUCGAGCCCUUAAUCCACUUUACACCUGUGCACUUAAUGUAGGUCGCCCUUAAAAAAGGUGACCUAUGUCUUAUCAUCAACCCAUCGUAUGUCUCAUAGAAUGUAAUCGAUAUCCUCGCCCUAAAAAAGCGUUGAUAAACUUAUACAACUUUCAACAACGGAUCUCUUGGCUCUCGCAUCGAUGAAGAACGCAGCGAAAUGCGAUAAGUAAUGUGAAUUGCAGAUUUUCAGUGAAUCAUCGAAUCUUUGAACGCACCUUGCGCUCCUUGGUAUUCCGAGGAGCAUGCCUGUUUGAGUGUCAUUAAAUUCUCAACUCCAAGGGUUUCACGACCUUUCGGAGAUUGGACUUGGAGGUGCUGGCCGCAUAUUGGUCGGCUCCUCUCAAAUGCAUCAGCGGAAUUCAACCUUUGGCUUCCGGAUGUCAGUGUGAUAAUCAUGUUGCGCUGUCGUUUGAUCCCUCAGAGUCCGCUUAUAAUGGUCUUCGGACAAAAUCAUCAUCAAAUUUGACCUCAAAUCAGGUAGGACUACCCGCUGAACUUAAGCAUAUCAAUAAGCGGAGA
Molecule: ribosomal RNA, 677 nt
Filed under: uncultured fungus
Lineage: Eukaryota; Fungi
Description: eukaryotic LSU rRNA
Rfam family: 5.8S ribosomal RNA (bases 264-418)
Source: RNAcentral